UAUCCUCCAUAGGAGGUUCAUAUUGAGCAGAUUCUUUUUGGUAUUGGGUGGUGGAACCGGAGCGUGCUCCAUCCACUCCAUGCAUUGACCUGGUAUUGCAGUGCUUCCAGGACCAGUGC
Molecule: small nuclear RNA, 119 nt
Filed under: Crocodylus porosus (Australian saltwater crocodile)
Lineage: Eukaryota; Metazoa; Chordata; Crocodylia; Crocodylidae
Description: U2 spliceosomal RNA (ENSCPRG00005013484.1)
Rfam family: U2 spliceosomal RNA
About the family: U2 is a small nuclear RNA (snRNA) component of the spliceosome (involved in pre-mRNA splicing). Complementary binding between U2 snRNA (in an area lying towards the 5' end but 3' to hairpin I) and the branchpoint sequence (BPS) of the intron results the bulging out of an unpaired adenosine, on the BPS, which initiates a nucleophilic attack at the intronic 5' splice site, thus starting the first of two transesterification reactions that mediate splicing.
Source: RNAcentral